GAGCAUUAUCCAGCAAUGGGCGGGAAGGGGGAAGAAGGCCUUCCGGUGGUAAAGACCUAUUCCUUCGGGUGAUAAAAUCCUUUUGAAUAUGAAGAGACAAUGACGGUACCUCAGGAAUAAGCCCCGGCUAACUACGUGCCAGCAGCCGCGGUAAUACGUAGGAGGCGAGCGUUAUUCGGAUUUAUUGGGGGUAAAAAGCGCGCAGGGGGGUGUGUAAGUCUGAGCGUGAAAUCCCCCGGCUCAACCCGGGGAGGGCGUUGGAUACUGCGGGGCUUGAGUUUGGGAGAGGGGGGUGGAAUUCUCGGUGUAGCGGUGAAAUGUGUAGAGAUAUGGAGGAACACCCGUGGGGAGGGGGGUUUUCUGGGCCACUACCUGACACGCAGGCGCGAAAGCGUGGGGAGCAAACACGAUUAGAUACCCCGGUAGUCCACGCCCUAAACGAUGCGAACUAGGUGUUGGGGGUCAUUAAACCACUCAGUGCCGAAGCUAACGCGAUAAGUACU
This 503-nucleotide ribosomal RNA is filed under the name uncultured bacterium. RNAcentral describes it as "partial 16S ribosomal RNA". It matches the Rfam family "Bacterial small subunit ribosomal RNA", at positions 379 to 868 of the family's 1533-position model. The record is from RNAcentral.